AUUGAACGCUGGCGGCAGGCCUAACACAUGCAAGUCGAGAGGAGCGGCGGACGGGUGAGUAAUGCCUAGGAAUCUGCCUGGUAGUGGGGGAUAACGUACGGAAACGGGCGCUAAUACCGCAUACUAUCAGAUGAGCCUAGGUCGGAUUAGCUAGUUGGUGGGGGAAAGGCCUACCACGGCGACGAUCCGUAACUGGUCUGAGAGGAUGAUAAGUCAGACGGGAACUGAGACACGGUCCAGAAUCCGACGGGAGGCAGCAGUGGGGAAGAUUGGACAAGUGGCGAAAGCCUGAUCCAGCCAUGCCGCGUGUGGGAAGAAGGUCUUCGGAUUGUAAAGCACUUUAAGUUGGGAGGCGUUACCAACAGAAUAAGCACCGGCUAACUUCGUGCCAGCAGCCGCGGUAAUUC
Molecule: ribosomal RNA, 407 nt
Filed under: uncultured bacterium
Lineage: Bacteria
Description: partial 16S ribosomal RNA
Rfam family: Bacterial small subunit ribosomal RNA
Source: RNAcentral